UUGCUCUUGUUAUUGAGGUCCCUAAUAAAAUCUAGUAUUACAUGAAGAUUUGAUUUUAAUAAGCUUAAAUAAUUAUUAUAGAAAGAUUUUUAUAGAUAUUAGAGAUCUCGAUGGAAGAAACUUUAGAAGAUAUAAUUGAGUCAGUUUUACUUAUAUAUUUUAAUUUUAGUUCUAACUUGGUGAAGUGUCAAAAAAUUUUUCUAAUUAAUUUUAC
This 214-nucleotide long non-coding RNA is filed under the name Elaeis guineensis (African oil palm). Its description in RNAcentral is "long non-coding RNA (EGUI_LNC031253)". The record is from RNAcentral. Lineage: Eukaryota; Viridiplantae; Streptophyta; Magnoliopsida; Arecales; Arecaceae.